Homo sapiens (human) is the source of this 2522-nucleotide long non-coding RNA. Ensembl annotates it as long intergenic non-protein coding RNA 511. The record is from Ensembl. Lineage: Eukaryota; Metazoa; Chordata; Mammalia; Primates; Hominidae.
AGGGCGCGCAGGCGGCGCGGGUGCGCGGUGCGGCGCUGGUAUCCAGAGGACGCGGUCACCGCCUCUGGCAUUUGUCGUUCUGCGCUUCUCCGCAAGGACCCUCUGUUAGGCAGGCGCCCACCGUAAGCCUCCCGGGCCUUGUGAACCUGCAAACCCAAGUCUGAGAGACGAUCCGCCUUCAGCGCUUUCCAGCUUGGCAGAGAGGCUUUCCCGGCGGGGAUCUUUGGUUGGCGCUGGCGAUGCGCGGGGAAGAAAGGCGAGGAGCGGCGUCCAGGCUGGGUGAUGUCCCAGCACGAGUAGGCGGGAUGCGCUCGCUUGGUCCUCCGGGCGCCCGGUCCCUGCCCGCGUCGCGCGCCCACCCCUGGGGACGAGAAGGCGGCCGCCUGAGGACCCCCGCCCGCGACCUCCGCGAGUCUGGAGCGCAGAGGACAGGGUCUGGCUGCUCUUUGGCCUUGGAUGGAAAGUGGGGAAUUGGGUGGGGGGCUGCGGACCCCUUAACGUGGAUUACUUGGUGUGUAUCAGCUGGGCUCAGAAGACCCACGACCUCUUCUCCAUCCGUGGAUUGAUUUGUUCUGCUUAACAGCUGGGUCGCCAAGCUGGAGGUAUUUUUCCCUCUCCACCCUGGUCUUCUCCUGUAACGUGUGGCCGCCUUUUCCAGCACGGCCUCCUGCCUUCCUGGUGCACUUUUUGGAGAACGUGGUGGAAUCAGAGGUUUCUGGCUGACUCGGUGGGUGCUUUGAACCAGGAAAGGACAAGAAAGAGGUGCCACCUCCUGAGUCCUGGUUCCUGCGGCUCCGUCGAAUCUGCAGUGAAGGCCUUUGGGAAGCGUGGGUUAUGUGGGUCCAGGGGUCCCAUCCUCCCGUGGAGGCCCUUGACCUGAGGAUCACUAACUCACACCCCACCGACUUCCGGCCCCCAACAAGGGCAGUGUUCCUCUUGCUCCAUUCUGCUCUGAAGUCCCCCAAACCGCUUCCUGGGGCUGCUUAGUGAAAUACAAGGCUCAUCUCUGAGGACCUCUACAGGGCUGGAUGGGAAGGACUGAUCCACAUUCCCACCAGGAAGUUUAGCAGAACCCCCGCGUGCCACCUGGACCCCUUGGAAGGACCUGGCUCAGGCUGGACCACCUCUUGAGAGGCAGGAGCUCUGGAUUUGAUCAAGAAUUCUUUGCUGAGCAUGGUGCCUCAUGCCUAUAAUCCCAACACUUUGGGAGGCCAGUGUGGGAGGAUCUCUUGAGCCCAGGAGUUCAAGACUAGCCUGGGCAACACAGAGAGACCCCAUCUCUAAAAUAAUAAUAAUAAUAAAAUAAAAAAUUAGCAGGGCAUGGUGGCAUGUGCCUGUAGUCCCAGCUACCCAGGAGGCUGAGGCAAGAGGAUGGCUGGAGCCUGGGAUGUUGAGGCUGCAAUGAACUGUGAUUACCCCACUGCACUCCAGCCUGGGCAAAAGAGCGAGAGACCCUGUCUCAAAUAAUAAUAAUAAUAAUAAUCUUAUUUUGGAGAAUAAAGAGACCUCUGGAUUUGAGGUGCCAUUUGGGUAGAAAGAAAAGACGUUUACACCGAGAAAUAGUCUGUGUUGCCCUGAAGGAGCAGAGGGAUGCAUCGCUGGAGGUGACCUACAGUUGAAGAAGACUCAUUAUGACAGACCUUGUCCUUCUUCCUUGUGGAAAGUGUUUCCUCUGCUGCUACUGCUCAUGAGACUCUUCCCCCUCCCUGUCCCAGGGAACCAAAGGGCUUUCUACCACACCCUUUCUUGCCCCCCGCCUCCCAUGUCUGCUGUGCCUUUGUACUCAGCAAUUCUUGUUUGCUCCAUUAUCUUCCAGCCGGAUACAGAGUGAAUAGUUAACCACACUUAGGUCAAAUAGGAUCUAAAUUUUUGUUCCUGCUCCGUGUAAAGAGGCCAGUGUUUGUGUGUUGCAAGCAGCCUUGGAAUAGUAACUCUUCUCAUUUGUUUGGGAUCUGGCCACCAAGUUCCAGAAUGAUACACGGAUCAGUGCAGAAGUUCAUCAGGCUCUCGGACCUUAGGGCUGUUGGAGAAGGCUUCAGCAGCAGAACUGAUGGUGAAGGCUCGUGUUCUCCAUCCUCAACUUUCUUUGCUUCGAUCAUACACAAGAAUACAUUUGGAAGGGCAAAAAAUGAACACUGUCGUUCAUUGCAGCCGUGUUUUGUGACACAGAUGCACAGUCUGCUGUGAAGACCUUCUCUCAAGUGGCAUUUGGGAGUCCAUGCCAGAUCAUGGUGCUUCAUGAGAGACUGACAGCUAUCAGGGGUUGUGGCACUUAGUGAGGACUCUCCUCCCCCAGUGUGUGCUGAUGACACAUACACACCUGACAAUAGCUUGAGUCUUCUCUGUUCCUUUUACUCUGUAGCCAACAUACACAUGAUUUAAAACCCUUUCUAAAUAUCUAUCAUGGUUCAUCCUUGUCCAAAUGCAGAGUCAGAGCUAUUUGUACUUCAUUAUUAUUUCCAAGGCGAAUAGUUGGCUUUCUUUUUGCAAAAAUAAUUAAAGUUUUUGUAUGUUGCAGUUGC